Molecule: non-coding RNA, 4743 nt
Organism: Delphinapterus leucas (beluga whale)
Lineage: Eukaryota; Metazoa; Chordata; Mammalia; Artiodactyla; Monodontidae
Source: RefSeq, a predicted model, not a curated record
CCACAGCCACCCCCCUCCUCUGCAGGAGACCCUCCAACAGUAGCAGAGCUACUCCACCCAAGUCGGGCUCCAGUGUGACAUUCCUGCCUGAGAAAGGAAUGAUGAAGUGAGACUACAGUUGCAGACAAGUGACACCCAGAAGCCAAAAGCUUCUAUAAGUACCAGGUCUGCGCAAGACCCAAGCCAAAGCAAUGGCAUUGUCGCUGGAAGAAUUCAUCCACUCCCUUGACCUCAGGACCCUCCCCAGGGUCCUAGAAGUCCAGUCAGGCUUCUAUUUUGAAGGUUCUAUUUAUGAAAUGUUUGGAAAUGAAUGCUGUUUGUCAACAGGAGAAGUGAUUAAAAUUACUGGCCUCAAAAUUAAGAAGAUCAUAGCUGAAAUUUGUGAGCACAUUGAAGGUUGUGAGGCUCCACAACCAUUUGAACUGCCUAUGAAUUUUCCAGGUCUUUUUAAGAUUGUGGCUGAUAAAACUCCAUACCUCACUAUGGAAGAAAUUACAAGAACCAUCCAUAUUGGACCAAGUAGACUGGGGCAUCCUUGCUUCUAUCAUCAGAAGGAUAUAAAACUAGAGAAUCUCAUCAUAAAGCAAGGUGAGCAAAUCAUGCUCAACUCAGUCGAAGAGAUCAAUGGAGAAAUAAUGGUGAACUGUGGUGUGCUAAGGAAUCAUCAAAAUCACUCAUUUACUUUGCCUUUGUCACAAGAAGGAGAGUUCUAUGAAUGUGAUGAUGAACAUAUUUAUACCCUAAAGGAAAUUGUCCAAUGGAAGAUCCCCAAGAACAGAACACGAACUGUGAAACUUACAGACUUUUCAAAUAAGUGGGACUUAAGAAAUCCAUUCCCUAAAGGCUUUUAUGGUGCUGUGAUUCUCAAGCCUGUUUAUGAAAUUCAAGGUGUGAUGAAAUUUAGAAAGGAUAUAGUCCGUAUCCUCCCCAGUUUAGAUGUUGAAGUCAAAGACAUUACAGACAGUUAUGAUUCCAACUGGUUUCUUCAGCUGUUAUCUACACAAGAUCUUUUUGAAAUGACCAGUAAAGAGUUCCCCAUAGUGGCUGAAGUCAUAGAAGCGCCCCAAGGAAACCAGCUACCCAGAAACGUUUUACAACCUGGGAAAACCAUUGUGAUCCACAAAAAGUGCCAGGCAUCAAGGAUCUUAGCUUCAGAAAUUAGAAGCAAUUUUCCUAAAAGACACUUCUUGAUCCCCCCUAGCUAUAAAGGCAAAUUCAAGCGACGACCUCGGGAGUUCCCAACCCCCUAUGACCUUGAGAUAGCAAAGAGUGAAAAGGAGCCUCUCCACGUGGUGGCCACCAAAGCCUUUCAUUCCCCCCAUGACGAGCUGUCAUCUGUAUCUGCCGGGGACCAGUUUCUAGUGCAACACUCACAGACGACGGAAGUCCUCUGUGAAGGGAUCAAAAAAGUGGUGAACGUUCUGGCUUGUGAAAAAAUCCUCAAAAAAUCCUAUGAGGCAGCACUGCUCCCUUUGUACAUGGAAGGAGGUUUCGUAGAAGUGAUUCAUGAUAAGAAGCAGUACCAGAUUUCUGAGCUCUGUGCACAGUUCCACUUGCCCUUCAAUGUGAAGGUUUCUGUGAGAGAUCUUUUCACUGAAGAAGACAUUUUGGCUGCUACACCAGGACUACGGCUGGAGGAAGCUAUCACAGACUCUUAUCUACUCAUAAGUGACUUUGCCAACCCCAAGGAGUGCUGGGAAAUUCCUGCUGGCCGUGUGAAUAUGACUGUUCAGUUAGUUAAUAAUUUGUCUGGGGAUCCAGGAUCAUUUCUAGUCAAGACUCUGGUUGAAGAGAUCCCUGAAGAACAGUAUUAUAUGAUGCGGAGAUAUGAAAACUCUUUCUCGUACCCCCCACCUCGCCCUCCCAAACAUCCCUCCGUGGAGGAAACAAAGUUAAGCCUGCUCAACUUAGCAGAAGAAAAGACAGUGGGUCUGCCCAAGUCUCCCAAGCCUAUGUCAUUUCAGAGUCUCCAUGUAGACAGAUCCAAGAAGCUGCACUCAAGUCAAGCUGGCCUGGAUUCCAAAGUACCAGUUGGUUGUCAAAAUGAUUUGGCUGAUCUGGAGAAAGAGAAGAGAAAGACUGGGAAAACUGCAGUAGCAGGCACCAGUGCAACCACAGAAAUUUUCAAAAAUGAAAAACGUCAAAAAUAAUGAGAUGUGACUGAAGCCACUUGGGCAGUGAACAUAAAUGUUCACAAUGGAAAAGCAAGCCUAGCCUUCUAGCUGAAAAAACAGCUAUUCCCCAGUGGACCCCAGAAGAAAUUUGACUGGCCACUGCAAAGGAAAAAACAACCUUAAAAGUUUUAACAGCGUGCGAAAGUCGUGCUGGCCUCCUCACUGUUCAUCAGACAGGACAGGACGGUCUUGCCUCCAGGCCUUUGCCUUGGUUUCUCUCCACCAGGAAAAGCUUUUUGCUCAAAUAUCUACACAGGUUUUUGGCUAUAGAAAUAAUGUGCUAUGAACAAUUCUGUACUAAUCCUUCUAUGGAGAGAUGCUUCUACUUCUCUUGGUCAUGUAGUCAUAGUGGAAACCACCAUGGGAAAGAAGAAGUUUGAACCACCUAUUCCUGCUGCAUGACUACUUCUCCUCCAGCCCAUACCCCUGACCUCAUGGAGAGUCUCCCAUUUCAGACUGAUGUAUAAAGAGGGGAAAACAUCUUUCUACAUUGACUGAAUACCUGAUAGUUUUGCAUGUUGUGCUGACAAAAACCAGAAACAGACCUCUGUAAUCCUCAGGUGUGGGCCUGAUGGAAAAUAGGGGUGGAAAAUAUUCCAGUGGGAAGAACUUUAAAUAAUGCAUCUGCUUCUUCACUUUGCUUGGAGGGAGAGAUGGCCAGAGGUACAGAUCUACACUAGUUCCUUGUCAGUGGUCAGACACUUAAAAAGGGCAGUGGUGGUGAAGGUGGCUUGGGGGAAAUCAUGCAAAGAUUUCAACAAUUUAAGUUUCCUCUAAACAAAGCUAAUUUGAAUAUUACUCCGGUUGAAAGAUCAAACAGCAAAAAGCAGACAUUUCUAAGCCCCCAACAGGGUAAUACUCCCUCAGAGUAUCACCAGCCUUCCUGGUAGCAAGUGAUUUGUAGUACUUUCCUUCCAACAUGGAAGGUGCAGGAGUUACUACUGAUUGAAAUAGAACCAUAUUCUGUAAGUGCAUUUGCUUUCCCCAAUUAAAAUCUUCUGCCAUACCAACUUUGUAGACUUGCUGAAUGCCCUAAUUAUUGUUAUAACGUUUCACAUUGCAUUGUUUCUGAUCAAGGUGUUCGUUUCACCAAUACAUAUCCAGGGGAUUCACUGUCUUUACUACACACCCAUCACUGGAAGUAACAGACAUGAUAUAAGAGUGAAAGAACUUAUAUCCCAUUUAAACCUUAUCUCAUACAGUUAGGGUGAUAUCCGAGGAGGUUCGGUAUAUAACAUGAACCAAUUUUAAUACGUGGUGACUUUUCUCCCAUCAGAAUUCUCAACUUGUGAACCAAGCAGUGGAGAAUGAAAGUGACUCACUUUUAAAUUAACCACUUAACUUUUCCUCUAAUGGGCCACACACACAUUCUCCUGUUCUCAUGCCUUCAGUUUUGUGCUCUACUGAUUUAAAUGUCUUCGGUCUUUUAAAACUAUAUUGAACCAGAAGAAGUACUGCUACCCAGUCAUUUUGGGCUCCUAUAUUUUUUAAUCACCAAAAAAAACCAGAUUUUGUAUUUCUUAGGUGACUGAUGUUCAUUAUCCAAGGGAAUUAGGAUUGCUGGUAUACACAGGGAAUGAGGAGAAAUCGGUCUGUUUUCCAGGUUACUAUCUAGUUAACUUUUUAGUACUUCUAUAACUAGUGAUAAAAAUUAAUAGGAGAGUUCUGAAAACCAAAAUGAGCAGGACUACUAUAUUUCAGAGACUUCAAGAAUACAGGUUUGAGUUAUUCCACAAGUUAAACAACCAAGACCAGAACUUUGAAUGAUUAUGGAAAAAUCAAAUUUUAACUUUCCCAUGACCACUUGUAAUAAUGGCCACUAUAGAAACCAGGCAUAUUUUUUUCUUUCUUGAUUAUUUAUGUAUUUAUAUAUUUUAACUGGCUUCUUCCCUAUUCCCUCUCAUAUUAUUUUGUGCAAGUUUGACCUAAAAUACUAGUGGUUGUGUUAUAGAAUGUCGAAGGAGGAGUUUGAUUGAACUAGAAGGGGAGGGAUCAUUAAUCAGAAAUGGGUACAGAGAUUGAAAGACAAAACUUGGGUUCCCUACCUUCUGGAGAGAGGAGGAACCUAUAUUCUUUUGUAAGAAGGUUGGCGCCGUCAUGUUUGAUGGAACAUGAUGUUUUUAUGGGUAUUUGAAAGGAUAGGAUUAUGUUUACAUAUGCUGAGUUGACAAAUGUAUGGACUGUACAAAUAUGUUCCCUGUUGUUAGUUCAUCAUCAUCUUUAAUCCCUUCGACUGAAAGGGGAAGACAUUUCCUUGAUUCACGUGUGAAGGAAGUUCUGGAUACAAUUACCUCAUGAAGAGGUACUCGUGCAGGAUUUGUAAGGUGGAAGAGAAGAAGCAGCAGCCCUCAUUCUUCUCUUACAGAUGUGGGCAGAUAUUCGGGCAGGUUGCUGAUGAGGUCUGCAUCAGACUCUGGGAAUUCUCCGAUGAAAAACUUAUUUCAAUAUCAAAAGUUACCUUAGGUCAUAGGGGGCAUUUUUAUAUUUGCAUCCUCCUGAUCAUUGGACCUUGAGGUUGUGCUUCCUGGACCCUGAAUAAUGGCCCCCAAAGAUGUCCACACCCUAAUCC